This 495-nucleotide ribosomal RNA is filed under the name uncultured bacterium. RNAcentral describes it as "bacterial SSU rRNA". It matches the Rfam family "Bacterial small subunit ribosomal RNA", at positions 903 to 1397 of the family's 1533-position model. The record is from RNAcentral.
AAAGGAAUAGACGGGGGCCCGCACAAGCGGUGGAGCAUGUGGUUCAAUUCGACGCAACGCGAAGAACCUUACCUGGGCUCGAACGGCCGGUUAACGGCGGUGGAAACAUCGCUACCCCGCAAGGGGGUCCGGUCGAGGUGCUGCAUGGCUGUCGUCAGCUCGUGUCGUGAGAUGUUGGGUUAAGUCCCGCAACGAGCGCAACCCUCGUCCUGUGUUGCCACCCCGCAAGGGAGCACUCGCAGGAGACCGCCAGCGAUAAGUUGGAGGAAGGUGGGGAUGACGUCAAGUCCUCAUGGCCUUUAUGUCCAGGGCUACACACGUGCUACAAUGGCCGGUACAAACCGCAGCAAACCCGCGAGGGGGAGCCAAUCGGAGAAAACCGGUCUCAGUUCGGAUUGCAGGCUGCAACCCGCCUGCAUGAAGCUGGAAUCGCUAGUAAUGGCAGAUCAGCAUGCUGCCGUGAAUACGUUCCCGGGCCUUGUACACACCGCCCGU